AAGAGAAUAAGAUAUAAAGACGGCUGCUAACUGAUCUUUAAAGCGGUUUAACUCCGUUUUUCUCUUU
This 67-nucleotide transfer RNA is filed under the name Psammotettix sp. EMHAU-2015-Zz053036. RNAcentral describes it as "tRNA-Ser". The record is from RNAcentral. Lineage: Eukaryota; Metazoa; Arthropoda; Insecta; Hemiptera; Cicadellidae.